GGGCCCUCGACAACUGCUCAGCGGUUGAGCACUCGCUUCACAAGCGAUAGGUCGGUGGUUCGAUCCCACCAGGGCGUA
RNAcentral lists this transfer RNA (78 nucleotides) under Phytophthora infestans (potato late blight agent). RNAcentral's name for it is "tRNA-Val". The stretch from base 16 to 70 matches the Rfam family "tRNA", at positions 10 to 63 of the family's 71-position model. Rfam says of the family: Transfer RNA (tRNA) molecules are approximately 80 nucleotides in length. Lineage: Eukaryota; Oomycota; Peronosporomycetes; Peronosporales; Peronosporaceae. The record is from RNAcentral.